Molecule: ribosomal RNA, 571 nt
Filed under: uncultured bacterium
Lineage: Bacteria
Description: bacterial SSU rRNA
Rfam family: Bacterial small subunit ribosomal RNA
Source: RNAcentral
UCCUACGGGAGGCAGCAGUGAGGAAUCUUGCGCAAUGGGCGAAAGCCUGACGCAGCCACGCCGCGUGCCGGAUGACGGCCCUAUGGGUUGUAAACGGCUUUUACUAGGGAAGAACGAGAGGGUUUUGAUCUUCUGUGACGGUACCUAGUGAAUAAGCACCGGCUAACUCCGUGCCAGCAGCCGCGGUAAUACGGAGGGUGCAAGCGUUGUCCGGAAUCAUUGGGUGUAAAGGGUGCGUAGGCGGGAGCCUAAGUCUGGGGUGAAAUCUUGCCGCUUAACGGUAAAAUGGCCUUGGAUACUGGGUUUCUUGAGUGCAGAAGAGGCAGGUGGAAUUCGUGGUGUAGCGGUGAAAUGCUUAGAUAUCACGAAGAACAUCAGUGGCGAAGGCGGCCUGCUGGUCUGCAACUGACGCUGAGGCACGAAAGCGUGGGGAGCGAACAGGAUUAGAUACCCUGGUAGUCCACGCCGUAAACGGUGGGCACUAGGUGUGGGUUCCAACCAACGGGAUCCGCGCCGUCGCUAACGCAUUAAGUGCCCCGCCUGGGGAGUACGGCCGCAAGGUUAAAACUCA